RNAcentral lists this ribosomal RNA (465 nucleotides) under uncultured bacterium. RNAcentral describes it as "partial 16S ribosomal RNA". It matches the Rfam family "Bacterial small subunit ribosomal RNA", at positions 339 to 795 of the family's 1533-position model. The record is from RNAcentral.
CUACGGGUGGCAGCAGUGAGGAAUCUUGCGCAAUGGGGGAAACCCUGACGCAGCGACGCCGCGUGGGUGAUGAAGGCCUUCGGGUCGUAAAGCCCUGUCGAGAGGGAAGAAUUGCAUUUAGGUUAAUAGCCUAAUUGUUUGACGGUACCUCCAAAGGAAGCACCGGCUAACUCCGUGCCAGCAGCCGCGGUAAUACGGAGGGUGCAAGCGUUGUGCGGAAUCACUGGGCGUAAAGGGCGUGUAGGCGGCUGAGUAAGUCAGGUGUGAACUCCCUCGGCUCAACCGGGGAAGUGCAUUUGAUACUGCUCAUCUUGAGUACUGGAGAGGGAGAUGGAAUUCCCGGUGUAGAGGUGAAAUUCGUAGAUAUCGGGAGGAACACCAGUGGCGAAGGCGAUCUCCUGGACAGAUACUGACGCUAAGGCGCGAAAGCGUGGGGAGCAAACAGGAUUAGAUACCCGAGUAGUC